This 69-nucleotide transfer RNA is filed under the name Marmota marmota marmota (Alpine marmot). It matches the Rfam family "tRNA". From Rfam's summary of the family: Transfer RNA (tRNA) molecules are approximately 80 nucleotides in length. Their secondary structure includes four short double-helical elements and three loops (D, anti-codon, and T loops). The record is from Rfam by way of RNAcentral. Lineage: Eukaryota; Metazoa; Chordata; Mammalia; Rodentia; Sciuridae. RNAcentral also lists the same sequence under 1 other name.
GGGGUUGUGGCUCAGAGGUAGAGCACUCGCCUGGCAUGUGUGAGGCACUGGGUUGAAUCCUUAGCACCA